This 24-nucleotide non-coding RNA is filed under the name Arabidopsis thaliana (thale cress). Lineage: Eukaryota; Viridiplantae; Streptophyta; Magnoliopsida; Brassicales; Brassicaceae. The record is from RNAcentral.
UCAAAGUUGAACCUAGAUGAGUGU